Molecule: ribosomal RNA, 270 nt
Filed under: uncultured bacterium
Lineage: Bacteria
Description: partial 16S ribosomal RNA
Rfam family: Bacterial small subunit ribosomal RNA
Source: RNAcentral
UACGGAGGGUGCGAGCGUUAAUCGGAAUAACUGGGCGUAAAGGGCACGCAGGCGGUUAUUUAAGUGAGGUGUGAAAGCCCCGGGCUUAACCUGGGAAUUGCAUUUCAGACUGGGUAACUAGAGUACUUUAGGGAGGGGUAGAAUUCCACGUGUAGCGGUGAAAUGCGUAGAGAUGUGGAGGAAUACCGAAGGCGAAGGCAGCCCUUGGAAUGUACUGACGCUCAUGUGCGAAAGCGUGGGGAGCAAACAGGGAUUAAGAUACCCGAGUCC